UACGUAGGGUGCAAGCGUUGUCCGGAAUUAUUGGGCGUAAAGAGCUCGUAGGCGGUUGUCCAAGUUGGAUGUGAAAGCCUUGAGCUUAACUCAAGAAAUGCAUUCAGGACUGGAUGACUAGAGGACCGGAGAGGAUAGUGGAAUUCCCAGUGUAGUGGUGAAAUACGUAGAGAUUGGGAAGAACACCAGUGGCGAAGGCGGCUAUCUGGACGGUUUCUGACGCUAAGACGCGAAAGCGUGGGGAGCAAACAGG
RNAcentral lists this ribosomal RNA (253 nucleotides) under uncultured bacterium. RNAcentral describes it as "partial 16S ribosomal RNA". It matches the Rfam family "Bacterial small subunit ribosomal RNA", at positions 524 to 776 of the family's 1533-position model. The record is from RNAcentral.